Molecule: ribosomal RNA, 460 nt
Filed under: uncultured bacterium
Lineage: Bacteria
Description: partial 16S ribosomal RNA
Rfam family: Bacterial small subunit ribosomal RNA
Source: RNAcentral
CCUACGGGAGGCAGCAGUGAGGAAUAUUGGUCAAUGGACGAGAGUCUGAACCAGCCAAGUAGCGUGAAGGAUGACUGCCCUACGGGUUGUAAACUUCUUUUAUAUGGGAAUAAAAUGUUCCACGUGUGCGUUUUUGUAUGUACCAUAUGAAUAAGGAUCGGCUAACUCCGUGCCAGCAGCCGCGGUAAUACGGAGGAUCUGAGCGUUAUCCGGAUUUAUUGGGUUUAAAGGGAGCGUAGGUGGGUUGUUAAGUCAGUUGUGAAAGUUUGCGGCUCAACCGUAAAAUUGCAGUUGAAACUGGCAGUCUUGAGUACAGUAGAGGUGGGCGGAAUUCGUGGUGUAGCGGUGAAAUGCUUAGAUAUCACGAAGAACUCCGAUUGCGAAGGCAGCUCACUAAACUGCAACUGACACUGAGGCUCGAAAGUGUGGGUAUCAAACAGGAUUAGAUACCCGAGUAGUC